GUAGACGUAGUCUAAUAAAGACGUCAGAUUGUGAUUCUGAAGACAGGGACUAAUAACCCCUCGUUUAC
Molecule: transfer RNA, 68 nt
Filed under: Saurida undosquamis (brushtooth lizardfish)
Lineage: Eukaryota; Metazoa; Chordata; Actinopteri; Aulopiformes; Synodontidae
Description: tRNA-His
Rfam family: tRNA
About the family: Transfer RNA (tRNA) molecules are approximately 80 nucleotides in length. Their secondary structure includes four short double-helical elements and three loops (D, anti-codon, and T loops).
Source: RNAcentral